Saccostrea cuccullata (small rock oyster) is the source of this 548-nucleotide long non-coding RNA. RefSeq lists it as uncharacterized. The transcript is spliced from 3 exons. NCBI's taxonomy places the organism in Eukaryota, Metazoa, Mollusca, Bivalvia, Ostreida, Ostreidae. The record is from RefSeq and is a predicted model, not a curated record.
ACAUAUUCACCACUUAAGAGGACGAUCUGUUAAUUGCAACGAUUAAAUAAACUGUUUUAUUUAAUUAUGCUAGUCCGGGUUUGGAGACCUCUUAGUGUACAUUGAAAACUUAUGGUAAGACGAUAUGGUCGGAGCGACAAGUUGUCUAUCAUAUAUCGCCAGAGUGCCGUUAGUGAAAUAAAAAAAUCUCCAUGAGUUAUUUAAAUCCUGUAAGAUAAUGCUAAAAUAACAACCUCACUUUAGUGAACCUGUUGGACUGUGAAAUAUUUUAGCGACGUUUGGUUUUUUUAUUGACAUUAAAUCGAUAGAGGAAAACAAUUCUUGGCCACUGUCGUGAAAUGAGAGAACAUAAAAAGAUUUGUCCCCGAUAUUCCUAGCAUGGACUCUCUUUCACCUGAACAAAUUGCAGAACUUCGGGAAACCUUUCUCCUUUUCGAUAGGGAUGGAGAUGGCACGGUGAACUGCGAGGAACUUGGGACGGUAAUGAGACAAUUAGGUCAAGAACCUUCAGAGGAGGAACUGCGACAAAUGAUAGCGGAAGUUGACGA